Molecule: non-coding RNA, 203 nt
Organism: Pelobates cultripes (western spadefoot toad)
Lineage: Eukaryota; Metazoa; Chordata; Amphibia; Anura; Pelobatidae
Source: the annotation of a GenBank genome assembly
UGGGGGCACUUGUGGAUACAGACAUGGGGACAGUUGGAGACAAUGGGACACAGACAUUUGGGGACACUGGGAGACUUGGGGACACUGAGACAUUUGGGGACACUGGGAGAUUUGGGGACACAGAGAUAUUGGAACACAGACACUGGGAGACAUGGGGACAUUGGGAGACAUGGAGACACUGAGACACUAGGGACAAUGGCUGG